UAUCCAGCUUUUCUCUUGUCUUUCUUUCCUUUUUCUAAAUCAGUGCCACUGGUCUGACAGCAGACACGAUGAAGAUGAUGACAUUCUUCAUUGUGGGACUCAUGUAGUCCAUGUAGUCUUCUUUCUCUCAAUAUUUGACAUUUAUCUCAAAUCCCCUCUCAUCCAUGGAAUGACAAUACAGCGUAUCCCUCUGGCCCCUCCGACCAAGCGCCUGGUGCUCUUUGUGGCAGAUGGUCAAAGAGGUGAAAGUCUCUUAUAAACCAGAUGACAAUGGGACAGUCAGGGCUCCUUACCUAAGGAGUGUGAUUGAGGAGAGUGGCAGAUAGGGAGUGUCUCACACAGAAUCACACAGACUCCCAACAGAAUCACACCCAGGUCACGUGGCUCAAAUAGCAGGUUUUUAUGAGGAUGUUAGUGCUGUUGCCAAGGGUAAGCAGCAGUUGCAUGUGUGUUUCUGUAUAACCUUUAAUUGCAUUACUUAUUUCCGUGCUUACAGGCUGGAAGGAAAAUCCAGUGGAGUUUGAUUCUGUUUUUAAUGAGAGCAGGCAUUCCUGGUGUUUGGGAAGUCCUGAUAUAUUACAGAUGUUUGCUAAAGGAGCCACUGGAGACCAUGUAUACACUCACACUUACAUCCAGAGCGAGAGGACUUUGCCUCCACUGAUGCUUCCAGACUUGAUACAUGGGGAUUUGAUGAAGUUAAGGGAUUAUCUGGAGAACAUUGUCCUGGUAGAUGCUGGUGUCGCUGAAAUGGUCACUAUGAUGGACGACUUUUAUGGGCAUAAUAGAAAAACGGCUUAUAUUUUUACGUCCGAUCAUGGCAUGACAAAUUGGGGAUCUCACGGUGUGGGACAUCCAUCAGAAACGCUGAGGCGCUUGGGGCGCUGGGGUUCAGACAGCACAACGGGAGAGCUCUCACAAAUAUGAUGAUAAUUAUUUAAAAGCUUUGUUUAAUGACUCUUGGAUACUUCCAGGAGAGUGGAUGUCAAUCAGGUGAAAGUGGCAUAGAAGAAAGAAACCGCAAUAUCUUUUCUGUUUACACCCUACCAGUGAGUAAACGUCAGUGCUUAAAUGGGUACUUCACCUAAAAAUAAACAUUCAGUCAUCAUUUGCUUUCUCUCAAGUCUUUUCAACCCUGUAUGACUUACUUUCUUCCUUGGAACCUUCUAAAGGUGUUGGUAUAUAGCUGCUAAGAUCCAUUAUUGUGAAGAUCUGAUAGGGCUGGUCGUAUUAUCACACAUAUGACAGAGUCCUUCUUGGUUUCAUUGUUGGAGCUCUUAUGUGGUUUUGCUCAUCUUGAAGAUGCAUGCCAGCCUACACAAACCUCAAACUAACAUGCACAUGGUAAGCAGGGGAUGUUGUAGUCAUGGUCAUGGUCAUUGCCAUUAAUAUUGAGGUUAGUGGUUUACUGGUAAAUAAAGAUAAAGUUUAAAUAUAUGUCAUUUCCUGUAUGUGUUUGUAUCUGUGGUUUUCGUGGUAACAGGAAGGAGUCUAGGACAGAUGUUUCUGUGUAAAGGUCUACUUGUGGCUCUCUUUUUGUUGAUCCAGGCCAGGCCUUGGACCUACUACAUCUACUGCUUGCUCCCUGUCACGAGGGAGUAAGUUACUCAGCCCUGUUUUUUAUUAAAGUAUUAUUUUGAGAAUUUGUAUAGAUUACAUUUAACAGUUUUAUUAAAUUAUUACUUAAAUGUAACAUUAUAGGAUUAUUGAGCAUGCACAAUUAAAGGGAUAGUCCACCCAAAAAUCUUCCUCUCCAGGAAAGAAUAAAAAAUAUUUUUGAUGAAAUUGGAGAGCUUUCUGUCCCUCCAUAAACAACAAGGGUUGACAGAUACCAGUAAGUUUACAUUUGUUAUCCAAAAACUAUUGUCAUUCUGAUAUAUUGUGAAUGUGUAAUGUUAAUUAAUAAAUAUAAAUUAACUACACAGGCCCAAAAAUUUGCAAAAUUAUUCACAUGACCAAAGACAAAUAAGAAAAUAGGUGCAUUUCACAAAAAUGCUCAGAAAAUCUGUAUUUAUUAAUCAUAUUCAAAUGUUUCAAUACAUUUUAUACCAAGUCAGUUUUUUCCUCCUCAUUAGAUUUUUGGAGAUUGUGUGUUUUCUCUUUGUCACAGAUUUGAAACUCUUGCCGGUCUGGUUCGAGCAAUCCCCUCAUUACAGCUCAGCAAAUGCUUUGGCUAUUUUUUACUGGAAUUGAAGUACUUGUAAGUGCUCGAUAAGCUGUGUGCUAGACAUGGUGAAUGCUGUCGUCUGUGUUUGAGUGUUAGCGCUGUUUUGUACUCUAGUAAUUAGAUGUGUUAACUAUUUCAGUUUUUUUCAUUUCCUGUCUGCUGGUGUUUUUAGGUGGUGAGUUUUUUUCUGUCGGGCCAUGUUGACCUUAGGGCUGCUUGUGCUGGCACUGUGGCCUGUGGUUUCUGGUCUCUACACAAAAGUAAGGUGACUUUUCUAAAGGCCCGUUCUGAUCUGAGGUUUAGAGGAGCAUUUUUUAAUAGUUUUUCUUUUGUAUUUUAUACUGUACUGUAGUUCAAGUCACUGAGCUGGAUUCUGAGCUGUCUGUUUCUGGCUGUGUUUCCUCUGUUGCCUGUGGUGGGAAGAGAACCGGACGUUAACUAUGUGUGAAGCACUCUUUGUUCACUUAGUGAUGCCAAAACCUGUCAUACACAAUCAUUUGUGUUCGUUUUCUUCAUUUAAACUGUUAAACACAUUCAUACACUCUGAUUAGUGAUGCUGAAUGGCAUCAGGAAGGUUUAUCUUCUAAAUGUAAUGUGUUUUACAGUACAAUGUGCGCUGACCCUCUUCAACCCCUGAGUGCUGACACCUUGAACUUGUCUUUAUACCUCUAUACCUGACCCGAAGGGAUCAUCAGCUGUUCAUCUGCCAUGUCAUUUUUGACUCUUUCUCUGUGUCUUUUUUCAUUCUAGGACAUUUUGGUGCAGACAUUUGAGGUCGGAUAUUGGUUCUGAACAGAUUUUUGUGUUAAAUAUUUCCUUGACUUAUCCCUGACAUUUUCUUGAAACAUAUUUUCAUAUUUUUAACAGCACAUUUGCAUGUUUUGUGGUUUUGGUUAAAGGUCACAUGGCAUGCAGGUUUAGUAAGGGCUUCCUUUUAAAUGUUUUUAAAUUAUUUACUUAUUUUUAUGAUUUAAUUUCUUAGUAGACUGCAGUUUCCCCCAUGAACCCCCCCAAGAGAUCCACAAAUUCCAGCUGGGAAGCCCUGUGUUUAAAAAUAGUGAUCCAGGGUACAGUUCUGUAAAGAGCAGGUUCAGAUAAUGCAGGUGAUGCUGUGUGACCAGCACACACUCCAGUCUGCAGCUGAAGCAAGGCUUGCCUCUCUCCUUAACCAGCUUGUUAGCUGGCUUACACUAGGUUCCUCAUUUUUGGUACCGUUGUUGAGUUCCACCAGGCUCUUUCACAGACUUCUGAGUAUCCUGAUGUCCUUAGUUUGUGUCUACCUCCUCCUAAGCACAGGACAAAAGCCACUGACCAUCAAUCUAACGCCAUCAAAUCAUUCAUUUGUAUGUGUCUGUGCUAAGAUUAAAGGUAUGAGGCUCUUUUUCCUCCAGUGCUGUCAUGGCUCAUGUUUGCAUGUAUCAACAUUGAGCAGGAAGCCAUGAACACACAUGGGAGUUCAAAUCAGACUGAGCUCUCCAGCAUUGAUUUUGGUGAAAACAUUGACAUUACUAAGAUCAGGCAGCUGAGGCUGUAUGAUAUUGGGAGAUCUUACUUCUUUGCACUUCUUUUGUCUACAAACUAUUAUUUGUGUCUUUUGAUGAUCUAUUAUACUAUUAUAUAAAUGAUAUAGUUACUUAACUGUUGUAAUAGGUGUUUUUCAUUAUAAUUGCAUUCUUCAGCAGCAUUAACAUUGCCUCUAUUUAUAGGUAGCUGGUCAUUUUGAAGUAAAACAGUGCUAUAAAGUAAACUUCAAUUAUUAUCUUCCCUCACAGUUUUGAUUCAGCCUCAGUUUAUUGCUUUUUGACCAUCUUCAAUUCUUUCAUCAUGGGCGGCCUGCUGAAGUGGCCGUAUAGCACUUCCUCAUCAUACAGUAUCAGAUUGACCCUUUUUUUCUUAAAUUAGUGCCACAUGCACCACAGCUAUUUGUGCUAUUAUGAUUUGUUAAUUAUUGCAUCCUCUUGUAGGUAUUAAUUUUAUUUGUAAUUGUGAUGUGCACUUUCGAAAGCAUUCAAGUGCCAACUCAGCUCUCAUCUUAGCAGAAUAAAUAAAACGGCAGGAAACCAACAGGUCUUUCUUUUUUCGCCCACAGUGUUUGCAUACUGACCACUUCUUCAAGCAUUUGCUAUAUUUGUGGCCUUCACAGACACUUCCUUGUUCUUCCGACAACUGGGGUUUGGUAUCUAGUGUACUUGAUUAAAAAACAUAAACCUACAAAGUCCAACAAGGAUAUGUACUGUAUGUUUUGUAUAUAACUUUAUGGUAUUAUUUUGCUUAAGUUUACAUCAAAUCUGCAUUUAUUUUCUUGGCUUUUCCUCUUUGUGCUUGUCAUCUCAGACUCGAGAAAACAAGCACACACAACAUGCAUACAGAACAUGACAAAUAAUAGCAAAAUUAAAUUGCAUAAAAGUAAAAACUUAUCUCUCUUAUUUUUUUCACCAGCACAUAUUUUACUUUAGUGAAGGCUUAUGGAAGCUGGCUUGACGUAGGCAUUAGGUGUGUUAACUGUAUUGUACUUUGUUUUAGCUUCCAUUCUUUUAACCAUGGGGAAACACAAGCUCAGUUAGAUUUGCAUCUGUCAUAAAUUAGUGUUAUAAAUUAAUGUGAGUUGAUGUGUUAUGAUGGAUUGCUUCAAUUAUGGACUUGGUACAUUGAAGUACUGUGUCAGAAUAUUUACAGAUGUUGUCUUGAUAUCUUACUCUUCCUCAUUUGAAAGACGUAUGGGAUCCCUUGAUGCUGUCCUAUAUGGUGAAUUAAUUCAUGAUUUUACUGAUAUGCUUUGGAUAAGCAAGGGAUAUUGGGAAAAGAAAUAAGCCCCACUUUGAGUUAAACUAAAAAAAAAAAACAUAUUUGAGACUGUAAGAGUGUGGUUAUUUUGUUUUGUGUUGUUCUGUGAAGUGUGAUUUGAGGUAAGGGCUAUAGCUAGAAUCACUACAUCACAGCAUAAUAAAAUGCCUAAAUUGCACGAAUAUGAUUCAAUGUUUCUUUUGUGUUGCAGUAUUAGUCACUAUGUCAUUGUGAUGUCCAUGACCAUCUUCCAGAUGUUGUUGAGCGUCAUGAUGCACAUAUUAACCUCCAAGAGGAUCCUCAUUGGACAGAAUUGAAAGAUGCGCUUUAGGUGACAACUUAGUUCCAGGUCCUUUUUCUUAAAGUUUACAAGGUGCAAAAACAAGCUUUCAGUAGCACAGUAAUAUGACUGAUGUCCAGCGUGGGGUCUUCCUGUUUAUGGGUAUUUCUUAACAUCAUUGUUACUUAAAACGUAUGACUCUGCAUCUUACGAUAUAAAGACUUUGCAUGACUAAUAUAAAAACAGUAAUCUACUGUUAAUACAUUCAGUGGACUUACAAAUAUUUUAGAGCUUGAUUUAAAGGGGAAUAACAAUUCCAUAAUACUGAUUUUGAUUAAAGGGAAAGGACUUGAUUAUGUCUCUCUAUAUGUACUGUAUGAUUUUAUGCCAAAGGUGAGGAUUGUUACUAUGUUACAAGAUGCCAUUAUGGUAAAUGUGUAGUUUUAUAACUCUGUAUUUUAAAAUAAUUUAUUUACAAUAAACCUUCACAGGUAUAAAUUACAUUUUUAAAAUGUAUUAAAAAAGUUAUUUUGUAAUAAUAUUAGAGUUAUCAAUAAUAUUUCCCAAUAUUACGGUUUGAAAAAUGCAGCCUUGAUGAGCAUAAGAAAGUUCUUUCACUUUAGUUUUACUCGCAUCAUCAAUGUCCAUUAAUAACUUCUGCACAUCCCCCUCUGCAGCUGUGACAAGAUCACGGGGAAAACCAAAAACCACAGACCCUGUCAGCUUAAGACUAGACACUAUAUUGAGUACUAUCAUUUAAGCCCCUGACACACCGAGCCAACUUCAAAGAACUAGCGGCGAAGGAAGCCGACGGUGUUGUCGCCUUGCGUCGGAAGCGUCGGACCAGACCGGCUGAAACAGACCGCACAGACUACAGCGGCGGCAAAUUAACACGUGCGUUCUGCGCAUGCGUCAGAUGAACGAGUUGUUCAUAGUAGAAGCUAUUAAUAUUCAUUCAAAAACCGAAACAGUGGCGAAGCGUCCGGGCAUGGAGGGCAUGCAGGUGCAGUUUGGGGGCCCGCCGAGCCCAGGGGAACUUUUUGUUGAAACGGGGAAUGAAUAGAACCCAGCCCGUACCUUUUUUCUGUCUCUUCACCUUACACAGCUGCUGUUGCAGGCAUAACAAUAUUUCAGUUUUGGUUUUUAAUGGCAAACUGAUAAUAUUUAUUUUCAUUUAUUUUUAAAAAUAAAAUUUAGAAAUAUGUUUGAAACAUUUUAUGUUUGUUAUAAUCAAGUGUUCAAAAGGUGUUUAAUAAUAAUAAUUAAUAUCGAAAACAAAAACUCAUUCAUGAUGUAAUCCGUAAAGAGGCAUUUCUUUCUAAAGGCGUCCAAUUAAAGAUGGCAUGUCAGGAUCGUCAAAUUCAUCUUUGUUACACUGACUCAGAAAACACUUUAAUUCUAUAUAUUUUUUUAUCAUAAAAUUGAAAGUAUAGGCACUUUGUAGUAGCAAAGCACAAAGCUGCGAUUAUGGGGUGGUUUGCGUGCUACAAAUAAUAUAUAGCCUAGACUUGAAAACGUUACAUAUUAUUACCAAGCAUUUAUACCAGAAAUAAAACAGCUUGUCAAGCAUGAUCCAUGUAACUUUAUUUAGGCUACUUCACUAAAUUCACUAAUAGGGCCUAGGUGAAGUGAACCGAGCUGGACCUUUGGGUGGGCCCAUACAAUUUUUAUUUUACUUUUGCUAUGGGCCCGGGGCUGACUUGCUUCACCAUUGAACCGAAACAAAGAUUUACUAGAUUAACACAGAUAUACAAAAUGUAAACAAACCAGCGCUUUCUUACCAUUUUGAAAAUCAGUAGCUUUGAUAACUUUAAUUAGCCUAUAAUUUUAUCAAGCAGCUCAUUUUGUUAUGAAAACAUUCGCUUAUUAGAAUGAUUUGGAAAGAUCACGUAAUAUUUAAACAGUCUUCUGUCUGUACCACCGUCAUUCACAUGCUUGUUUUCAUCACUUGCUUUAAUUCUAGGCACUCACUCGUCCGAUAAACUGAACAUCCAAUCAGAGCUCUCACUCUUGGCGACGUCCCCGACGCCGAUUCAACUGCCGACGAGUGGAACACGCCAAACAAAUUAUCGGCUUGGUGUGUGCCGGAUUUAAGAUUAUAAA
Molecule: long non-coding RNA, 7331 nt
Organism: Carassius gibelio (silver crucian carp)
Lineage: Eukaryota; Metazoa; Chordata; Actinopteri; Cypriniformes; Cyprinidae
Exons: 11
Source: RefSeq, a predicted model, not a curated record